Molecule: ribosomal RNA, 253 nt
Filed under: uncultured bacterium
Lineage: Bacteria
Description: partial 16S ribosomal RNA
Rfam family: Bacterial small subunit ribosomal RNA
Source: RNAcentral
UACGUAGGUGGCGAGCGUUGUCCGGAUUUAUUGGGUUUAAAGGGUGCGUAGGCGGCUUUGUAAGUCAGUGGUGAAAUACUCCAGCUUAACUGGAGGGGUGCCAUUGAUGCUGCGGAGCUUGAGUACAGAUGAGGUAGGCGGAAUUGACGGUGUAGCGGUGAAAUGCAUAGAUAUCGUCAAGAACACCGAUAGCGAAGGCAGCUUACUGGGCUGUAACUGACGCUGAUGCACGAAAGUGUGGGGAUCAAACAGG